UACGUAGGGGGCUAGCGUUGUCCGGAAUCAUUGGGCGUAAAGAGCGUGUAGGCGGUCCGGUAAGUCCGCUGUGAAAGUCGGGGGCUCAACCCUCGAAUGCCGGUGGAUACUGUCGGGCUAGAGUGCGGAAGAGGCGAGUGGAAUUCCUGGUGUAGCGGUGAAAUGCGCAGAUAUCAGGAGGAACACCUAUGGCGAAGGCAGCUCUCUGGUACGUGACUGACGCUGAGACGCGAAAGCGUGGGGAGCGAACAGG
Molecule: ribosomal RNA, 253 nt
Filed under: uncultured bacterium
Lineage: Bacteria
Description: partial 16S ribosomal RNA
Rfam family: Bacterial small subunit ribosomal RNA
Source: RNAcentral